GUGGAUUAUUUAUUAAGCUGAGUCUCAGCGAUAAAAGUGAUGAAAAACCUUUUAAAUCAUAAAAGAUAGUAGAUUUUAUUCUCUACUUGACUCUUUUAAUGGAUUGCUUGUUCCGCUGCAGUUAAACUUGAUGUUUUUAUAUUUUAUCAGUUUAACACUGUUGAAGGCUAACGAUAAUUUAUUCUGCAUUAUCUUAGUCAUAAUAUUUCUUACUGG
RNAcentral lists this long non-coding RNA (216 nucleotides) under Panax ginseng (ginseng). RNAcentral describes it as "long non-coding RNA (PGIN_LNC002381)". The record is from RNAcentral. Lineage: Eukaryota; Viridiplantae; Streptophyta; Magnoliopsida; Apiales; Araliaceae.